Long non-coding RNA from Grus americana (Whooping crane), 1231 nucleotides. RefSeq lists it as uncharacterized. The transcript has 6 exons. NCBI's taxonomy places the organism in Eukaryota, Metazoa, Chordata, Aves, Gruiformes, Gruidae. The record is from RefSeq and is a predicted model, not a curated record.
GGCACAGCUGAGUCUCCGCUGCGUGGCUGUCUCUCCCCUUCCCCACCCCUUCGGCUGCUGCCUGAGUUUCUCUUUUUUUUUUCUCUUUCUGGUGUGCGGAACGAGACCGGAGUUUACGCUCAGGCCUGCGCCGAGAGGAAGGCAGCCAGCGAUUUGUGAAGAAGUGACCGCUGACAAAACCACACGUUUUGGGUUUUAUUUUUAAGGAUGGUGGGGAGGACUGCAAAAUACCGCCUCGCAGGAGGCAGACCUAAAAAGGCGCCUUAAAAUGAAUCCACAAAGGCGGCAUUCCCCCCGCCUCCCCCCCCGCCUCAGCGGACACUCGCUGGAGUUACUGUUGCCGCUCAUGUCCGUCUCUGUGGGUGUAAAGAGGCCGUGUCGCAGGAACUGAAACACCCGAUGCGGAAAGAGUUGCCGGGGCGAGGGACUUCCAGGUGGACAUAACGAACUGGAGUGGCUUUUAAAAACAACCUUUUUGGACGAGCACGGGGGAAAAUGUUGAUGUUCAGGUGAAGGGUCCUUCGCUGGAGGCUGAUGCUCCCCACUGCCACCAGAUUUACUGGAAGUACUUAAAUUGUGGGUUGUGAAGGAGUGUUUGGAGAACGAGAAUGUCCUAAUCUGAAAGGUUUUCUGGUGUUCCUCUGUACAGGUUCCCUAAACAUCAUUCACCAUUGAAGAACAGCAUAGAAAAUCUUGGCCUAAGAGGUGUAUAUUUGGAGAAAUAACAGGAUAAGCAUGAGCAAUUUUCUUAAAGUUUAUAGAGACGAUGCACUAGCCAUUCAAGUCAAAGCAGACUAGUCAAAUGCUCACAGAGCCAAAAGAAGAAUGUACUAUGUCUUUGAGCAGACAGUGAAUGUAAAACUUGCUUUGUUUUCCAGUGGAGAACUUUGUAGACCCUGCAUUGUGCUUACCUGCUGCCCCAAGUCAGCAUUCUCCUCACCCCUUGAGGCUGUGCAUUGCCUUUGGUCAGUGGAGAGCAGUUGCUCCUCUCAGUCAAAUGUAGAGCUUUCCUUUUCGUAUGAGGAACUGUUGGGAGCGCUGGGAACUUUUGAAGUGGUGGUUGAUUCUGUUGACCUCCUGAUCCUCUCUCCAGUUAGACUCCAGAAAGGACCUCUUUACUCUCAUACUACAGCCUUGCAGAUGGCUAUGAUUCUUUGGGGUUUGGGGGGGAUUGUGGUUUUGUUUUGGUUUUUGUUUGUUUGGGGUUUUUUUGUUUUGGUUUGGUUUGUUU